This 369-nucleotide long non-coding RNA is filed under the name Ictidomys tridecemlineatus (thirteen-lined ground squirrel). Its description in RNAcentral is "lncRNA (ENSSTOG00000032829.1)". The record is from RNAcentral. Lineage: Eukaryota; Metazoa; Chordata; Mammalia; Rodentia; Sciuridae.
GGGUGUUGAGUAGUUCCUUAGAAGAUGCAUCAGGAUCUUGCCUCAAUGACCUGGUUACUCCAUGGUCAAGAUAUCCUCCUGACUACUGCAAGCCACAGUCCAGAGGAAUUCACUUCUGACCACUCAACUUUGUUCACCCUGCUGAGGAAUCAGAUGAAGAAUGACUGCUUCACACUGACAAGUCACCUUUAUCUGGAAAGUCAAAGGUCCUCCUUCCUAUUUCUCUCCUGCUCCUCUUCUUUGCCUUACACUCUUGCCCCAUGUCCACAUCAAGUAAUAUUCCUGAAUGAUUCACGAGCAACACCAUCCAUGUACUACCAGUUACUCUUGUGUUCUCCCAGGUCCCUCGGUGGACUUGGUAGAGUUUGA